This 420-nucleotide ribosomal RNA is filed under the name Triticum aestivum (bread wheat). RNAcentral describes it as "partial small subunit ribosomal RNA". The record is from RNAcentral. Lineage: Eukaryota; Viridiplantae; Streptophyta; Magnoliopsida; Poales; Poaceae.
AUGAACUUAUGUUUGUUAGCUUUUUGGAUAAGUAGGUAUUAUAACUCCGAGGACAAAAUUUGGAAGAACAUCAUAGACUCUAAGUAUGACCUUCGGAGUAAUAACAUUUUUGCUUGCUCUGCUGCUGGAGCUUCUCCUUUCUGGAAAGGAGUUCUCUGGGCAGCUCAAGCUGCUAAGGUUGGUUUUUCUUGGCAUAUAGGGAAUGGCAAGAGAGCUAGAUUCUGGAAGGAUCAUUGGUUUGGCAAUGCUAUCCUAGCCACCCAAUAUUGGGAUUUAUAUAACAUAGCCAAUGAGCAUAAUGUUACUAUUGACAGAGUUUGGGAUGGUUGUAAUCUUAAGAUGGGAUCUCCCCGACUCAAAGGUUAUCAAUCUACGCGGAUGACGUUGCGUUGUUCAUCAAGCCAACGGAGAUGGAUUUGA